UGGGGAAUAUUGCGCAAUGGGCGAAAGCCUGACGCAGCGACGCCGCGUGAGGGAUGAAGGCCUUCGGGUUGUAAACCUCUGUCGCGAGGGACGAAGCUCUGACGGUACCUCGAAAGGAAGCACCGGCUAACUCUGUGCCAGCAGCCGCGGUAAUACAGAGGGUGCGAGCGUUGUCCGGAAUCACUGGGCGUAAAGGGCGCGUAGGCGGCCUGGUAAGUCGGGGGUGAAACGCUGCGGCUCAACCGCAGCACUGCCUUCGAGACUGUCAGGCUUGAGCACGGUAGAGGCUGGUGGAAUUCCCGGUGUAGCGGUGGAAUGCGUAGAGAUCGGGAAGAACAUCGGUGGCGAAGGCGGCCAGCUGGGCCGUUGCUGACGCUGAGGCGCGACAGCGUGGGGAGCAAACAGG
This 406-nucleotide ribosomal RNA is filed under the name uncultured bacterium. RNAcentral describes it as "bacterial SSU rRNA". It matches the Rfam family "Bacterial small subunit ribosomal RNA", at positions 355 to 776 of the family's 1533-position model. The record is from RNAcentral.